RNAcentral lists this transfer RNA (73 nucleotides) under Anaerolineaceae bacterium. Its description in RNAcentral is "tRNA-Glu". It matches the Rfam family "tRNA". From Rfam's summary of the family: Transfer RNA (tRNA) molecules are approximately 80 nucleotides in length. Their secondary structure includes four short double-helical elements and three loops (D, anti-codon, and T loops). RNAcentral also lists the same sequence under 3 other names. Lineage: Bacteria; Bacillati; Chloroflexota; Anaerolineae; Anaerolineales; Anaerolineaceae. The record is from RNAcentral.
GGCCCCAUCGUCUAGUGGACUAGGAUGCCACCCUUUCAAGGUGGAGACACGGGUUCGAACCCCGUUGGGGCUA